RNAcentral lists this ribosomal RNA (185 nucleotides) under uncultured bacterium. RNAcentral's name for it is "partial 16S ribosomal RNA". It matches the Rfam family "Bacterial small subunit ribosomal RNA", at positions 1316 to 1500 of the family's 1533-position model. The record is from RNAcentral.
CUGCAUGAAGCUGGAAUCGCUAGUAAUCGCAGAUCAGAAUGCUGCGGUGAAUACGUUCCCGGGUCUUGUACACACCGCCCGUCACACCAUGGGAGUUGGAAAUGCCCGAAGUCAGUGACCGAACCGAAAGGAAGGAGCUGCCGAAGGUGGAGCCGAUGACUGGGGUGAAGUCGUAACAAGGUAAC